This 253-nucleotide ribosomal RNA is filed under the name uncultured bacterium. Its description in RNAcentral is "partial 16S ribosomal RNA". It matches the Rfam family "Bacterial small subunit ribosomal RNA", at positions 524 to 776 of the family's 1533-position model. The record is from RNAcentral.
GACGGAGGGUGCAAGCGUUGUUCGGAAUUACUGGGCGUAAAGGGCGCGUAGGCGGUCUGCUAAGUUCGGUGUGAAAUCCCCCGGCUCAACUGGGGAACUGCACCGGAAACUGACAGACUAGAGUACCGGAGAGGAGGGUGGAAUUCCUGGUGUAGCGGUGAAAUGCGUAGAUAUCAGGAGGAACACCGGUGGCGAAGGCGGCCCUCUGGACGGAUACUGACGCUGAGGCGCGAAAGCGUGGGGAUCAAACAGG